Molecule: long non-coding RNA, 212 nt
Filed under: Gossypium barbadense (sea-island cotton)
Lineage: Eukaryota; Viridiplantae; Streptophyta; Magnoliopsida; Malvales; Malvaceae
Description: long non-coding RNA (GBAR_LNC011823)
Source: RNAcentral
CCCUGUUGUGUUGAUCCGAUCUACCAACUUCUCUUUAAUUUAAUCUACAAAAGAAAUUAUCAAACACACACAAGUAAGCUUAUUGAAGCUUAGUAAGCUCAUAGGCAUAAAAACACAAAUCAUAUCAAAUAUUGUACACAAUCAUUUAUCUAUUAGUUUAACUAUUUCAUCCUCCAAAUCACAAUUUCAUUAAUAACUCAUUGGAAUAAUUU